GCAGGUGAAAAUAACUUUCAUUCCUCAGAUAAGGAACACCAGAGGAAAAACUAAACUAGUUUGUGUGAUACAUGUUUAUUAUGUCUUUUAUGCGGCUCAGGAGUUGAAGAAAUCAUGAAAUGACUAUUCUAAAGGGAGCUGAAAACUUGAGUAUGCCAUGUUCUGCUACACUACAGUGCUUCAUAAAACUAUCUGAGAUGUGUCCGUGCUGAUUCUCAUGGUCUGCAAUUGGUGUCUUUCAACAAAACUGCUACCUACAUUGUCAUCUGGAGGAAACCCAGAGCAAUCACAACGAAAUACUUCUUAGAGGAAUAAAAGAGAAAGAGGUGGGAUGUAUAUAGCAAGCCAGACUGGAAGUAGAGUAAUAACAAAGUAUACAAGUGUGAUGUUUUGAAUAAGAUCUUCAGAUUCUCUAAUUCAUAAACACCUCCCAUGGCCUGCUCCCCAAGACAUAUGUCAGAUUUUAGAAAAUGAGGAGGUUUUUGCUAUAAAGCCUGCAGAAUCAGAGGUGAACUCUCAGCCAGGAUGUAUGCUAAGUAAGGAAAAACAUUAGCUGUUAUUUUAAGAUGGAAUGGACAACUGAUACUGACAGAACCUCUUUUGGACUUCAGGUAAAUAAGCAGUCCUGCCUGCAUAACAUUUCCUUAUUUCUUUUUUUAUUUUUUAACUUGCUUUAUUUUUCAAUGAAAGAAAUCACAGCUGAUGUUAGGUAUCUUGAUCAUUACUUUUCUUGUCUGAAUAACUGUCACGUUCAGGGUAGAUUGGACAUUUUACUGAACUACCCUCGCUGCAGAAAAAAAAAAAAAAAAAAAAAAAAAAAAAAAAAAAAACAGAUGCUGAUUUGGUUCCAUGCAGUGAAUAUCUUUUGCUUGGACUUCUCCAGAGAGCUACCAAAUGUCGUUUCCCGGAUUUUUGCAGAAGAUCCUGCAGUGCUGAUCAUUUUCCCGAUCUCUAGGGAAGUAACUGCAAUGUGCCAACACACUGCAUGUUGCACCUAACUGAUAGCUCAUCAGUGUUCUAUAAGGGACCUAAUACUGUGUGCUCAGCAAGGCUUGGUCAAAUAUUGGUAGCCAAGAGCCAGAUUUUCACUGAGAGAACUAAUGAACGGAUGUUUCACUGAAAGAAGUUGAAGCAGAAGUUAAACUGAGAAAGUGCUGCACGUCAAAUAUCAUCCUUUCUUGUACGAAAAAUAAUACCACUGGAUUUGACAGCUCUGCUCUGAACCAUCUCUUUCAUCAGUGCUCUGAAUGCUGGAUGGAACACUCAGCAAGUCCAAUACAAGAAAACCCCUGGGGGUUUUCUCAUCUGAGAUUGGAAAGCUGAAAGUUGCAAAAGAUGCAGUAGUGGCAGACCCACUACAGUUCUGAGGCUCUGUGCCCUUUGAUCCCAUUAUUAGAAGGAAUAUCCUCUCUCAGACAUGAAAGAUGAGGCAGAGGAACCUACAGCAGGCAAGGCAAGCUUCAGCCUAAAAAAUGCAGUGCGAAAGUGAGAAGCAAGAUUUUUCUAAGUACUCCGUCCCCAUGGGUAUCUCUGUGAUUGAAAGAAGACUUCAGUGAACUGAAGAGGCAUGACUCUGCUUCAGUGACAGAAUCUUUAGAAUAGCAGAUCAGAAUUUACAGCCAGGUCCCAGAAUCAAGUACAACUGCAGUGGUAAGCCAGGAUGAUUCGUGCUGCUGUGUAAUGAGAGAAAUCAUGCAUCUUUGGCUAUUCAUGGGCCUGAAAUACAGCCUCCUGCAGCUGAUAAGGUAUAAUGGCUUUCAGUGAGCUUCAGCACCUCUGAACUGAAUGCAGCGGAGACCCAACAUGACUGAAGUUUCCAAGUCCAACUGUAAGCAUUUUUCCUUAUCAAUGCCUAACUUACUGUCCACUGUCGCAGUGCACUGAAGAUGCUGAAAAGGAGAAUGCCAAUAGGAAGCUUCACAGGAGGUGUUUGCUAUCAGUAGAGAGACUGAAAAAAGGGGAGUACGAGUAUGUAGAUGGAAACAUAAAGUGAGAUUUAGUUGUGGAUGAGUAAAUAAAAAUACACUAAAAGCUGGCAAAAUGAGGCUCGCAGGACAGCUCCCCUUCUCCCAGACACAUUUCAUCUCAGAUACAGAUUCAAAACUGUACCCAGGAUGACAGUUGCAGACUUCACUGGUACCCCCACAGCAUCUUCAAUGCAGGUUGAUGCCAGUGGUGACAGCCCAGAGCUCGGCGCAAGCUUUUUCAGACACUUUCUUGGAUAUCCUUUUUUCUUCAAGACAAACGAAUGGAGAAAAACAGAAAACUCCAGACUGUCACUGCAUUCACCAGGCUGGACUCUCAUCCAAGAUGUCAUUUCUCUCGAGCUGCUUGUUGGUGUACGGGAACUGUUGAAUCACGGCCUGAACCUCUGAUUGAUCACCUGAGGUGAGCACCGAGUCAGUCACGGGUUUAGGAGUUUUCUUGUGAGCCUACAACACCGGUGAGCAUUUUUCCAUUUAUUUCCAAUUAUCUUUUCCAAUGUGAUAAUCUUUCUGGCUAUACGCUCUCGAAAGACCAGCCUAACUUCUCUGUAUACUUACUGGUUAUACAUCUAUAUACUCAUUCAUUAUGCAGAUGGAACAGCAACUUCUGGCAUUUGGCAACUUACAUCCAUUGAAAUUUGAUGCAAAACUUCUACUCAAGCUAACAGAGACCAGUCCUCCCCUGGACUGUAUGAGAGGGUUCUCCUGCCUUUUAGCAAGAUUUGGUUCCCAAUCUGCUCACUGAAGGCAGCAAUUGCAGUCCAAGAAGAAGGAACCAUGGCAUUUUUUAUGUCCGCUGUCUGUCUAUGGAGGCAGGUCACGUAUACAUGAACUACCUAAGGAUAGUUAGAGCAUGCCAACAUAAACAUCAAUAAAAACAGUGGUGAACCAGCCACUGAUCUAGUCUUGACAAGAGAGUAGGUAAAGUAAAAUGGCAGAUAAAAAUGAAGAAAGUAAAUGUGAAAUGAUUAAGAUGAGGAAAAACAGGAACUGUAACUCCACAUGUAAUGUAAUGGACUAUAAACUACUGCUGAACACAGCUUCCAGGAUAAUGCACAAUGCAUGAGAACAUCAACUCAGAGAUCCAGAAAAUGAAGCCAAAGGCAGUUUCUGAUUUCGUAUUUGGUCUGUCCUAAGCAUAUGUUUUUGGUCAUGGCUAAAGAGAGGGUACUGAUACUGGAAUGCUUGGUUUUGACCAGUAUAACUACUUCUAAUGUUUUUCCCAACAUGCCUCAGUGAAUUAAGUAUAAUGCAUUGUUUUGCAUCAAAUACAACUACAUUUUAUAUGUGGUGAUGCAGUUUCUUCAGUAAAUUGUGUAUUAAAAAAACCUUCCAUAAAU
This 3325-nucleotide long non-coding RNA is filed under the name Gallus gallus (chicken). RNAcentral describes it as "lncRNA (ENSGALG00010018833.1)". The record is from RNAcentral. Lineage: Eukaryota; Metazoa; Chordata; Aves; Galliformes; Phasianidae.